This 1218-nucleotide long non-coding RNA is filed under the name Ananas comosus (pineapple). RNAcentral describes it as "long non-coding RNA (ACOM_LNC016009)". Lineage: Eukaryota; Viridiplantae; Streptophyta; Magnoliopsida; Poales; Bromeliaceae. The record is from RNAcentral.
UUUUCUUUUUUUUGAGAAAAAGGUGGCACGCUGCCCAUUUCAUUCAUUGGAUCGAUGAAAUAGGCUACAAGGAUGAGGCAUUCUGGGCCUCGAGAGAAUCAAAACGAAGUCCGAAAAAAAAAUUAAACUAUUAAGGCCUAAGUAUAAAGCCCAAUCCAAUCAAAAAUAAAAGAUUACUCGACUCAACCCACCUUAGCUAGCCCAUUCAGCCAGAUUACAAACAAAAAAGAAAACAAAAAAAAAAAUCAAUCAUUAUCUUCCCUUCUCCCCUUACUCAAUCCACUGAAACCCUAGACGAAGAGCCUCUCGCUUUCCUCCUCCUGCGCGCCGCAACCGACGAGAUAGGAUUUCGACGGUUGCUAAAUACUUAAAUAAGUGUUGGUAAAUUAGCAGCAUUUUUUUUAGGUUAUACCGAUACUCUUAAACUGUCACUAUAUACCUAGCGACCCCACAUACAGCAAUAUUUUUUAAAAGCGUCGGUAACUUAGGCAGCAACACUUUUUUUGACAUGUAUCGACAUUUAAAAGUGUCGCUAUACACCUUUUUUGUUGUAGUGUAUUUAUGUCAAAAUAAAGUACAAAUACAACUUAAUCUUAAUUAUUAUCAUUUGAAUACAAGAUUAUUAUAUUAUAUUUGAUUGGAUUCUUACUAGAGAUGUCAACGGAUCGGAUUCGGGGCGGAUUUUCAAAAAUUCGAACCCGAACCCGACUCCAAACCCGAGACCCGAAUCCGAAUCCGAACCUGACGGAUUUUAAAAAUCCAUAUCCAAACCCGAACCCGACCAAAAAUCCGAAACCCGAACCCAAAUCCGAACCCGAAAAUUUGAACCGGAAACAAUUAACUUUUUUUUCAAUAUUUCAAAAUAUAUUAUAUUAAAUCUAAAUUUUUAAAAUACAAAUUCAAAUAUAACAUCAAAUUUUUAUAUAUAUAUUAUAUAUAAUAUAAAAUAAAUUCGGGUUCGGGUCGGGUUCGGGAUCGGGUCCGGUACAAUCAAAAUCUAUAUCCGAAUCCAUAUCCGUCAGAUUUUUAUUUUUGAUAUCCAUAUCCGAAUCCAUAUCCGUCAGAUUUUUAUUUUUGAUAUCCAUAUUCGAAUCUAUAUUUAUUUAGUAUCGAAUAUAUCCAUUUCAUUCGGGUUCGAACUCGGAUAAAAUUUCGGGUAUCCAUACUCAUUGACAUCCGUAAAUCUUACUGUCAUCUCUCAUCUCUCCAUAGACGUUU